GUUAGCUCAGUUGGUAGAGCAUCUGACUUUUAAUCAGAGGGUCGCUGGUUCGAACCCAGCA
RNAcentral lists this transfer RNA (61 nucleotides) under Listeria monocytogenes. It matches the Rfam family "tRNA", at positions 7 to 64 of the family's 71-position model. From Rfam's summary of the family: Transfer RNA (tRNA) molecules are approximately 80 nucleotides in length. Lineage: Bacteria; Bacillati; Bacillota; Bacilli; Caryophanales; Listeriaceae. RNAcentral also lists the same sequence under 1 other name. The record is from RNAcentral.